GACGAACGCUGGCGGCGUGCCUAAUACAUGCCAGUCGAACGCUUCUUUCCUCCCGAGUGCUUGCACUCAAUUGGAAAGCGGGGUGGCGGACGGGUGAGUAACACGUGGGUAACCUACCCAUUAGAGGGGGAUAACACUUGGAAACAGGUGAUAAUACCGCAUAACAGUUUAUGCCGCAUGGCAUAAGAGUGAAAGGCGCUUUCGGGUGUCGUUGAUGGACGGACCCGCGGUGCAUUAGCUAGUUGGGGAGGUAACGGCUCACCAAGGCCACGAUGCAUAGCCGACAUGAGAGGGUGAUCGGCCACACUGGGACUGAGACACGGCCCAGACUCCUACGGGAGGCAGCAGUAGGGAAUCUUCGGCAAUGGGCGAAAGUCUGACCGAGCAACGCCGCGUGAGUGAAGAAGGUUUUCGGAUCGUAAAACUCUGUUGUUAGGGAAGAACAAAGACGUUAGUAACUGAACGUCCCCUGACGGUAUCUAACCAGAAAGCCACGGCUAACUACGUG
This 508-nucleotide ribosomal RNA is filed under the name uncultured bacterium. RNAcentral describes it as "partial 16S ribosomal RNA". It matches the Rfam family "Bacterial small subunit ribosomal RNA", at positions 28 to 507 of the family's 1533-position model. The record is from RNAcentral.